AACGAACGCUGGCGGCGUGCCUAACACAUGCAAGUCGAGCGCGAAAAGGGCAACCUGAGUAGAGCGGCGCACGGGUGCGUAACACGUGGGUAAUCUGCCUCAAAGUCUGGGAUAACCUUCCGAAAGGUUGGCUAAUACCAGAUAAGCUCACGGGGUCUUCGGAUCCUGAGGGAAAAGGUGGCCUCUAUUUAUAAGCCAUCACUUUGAGAUGAGCCCGCGGCCCAUCAGCUAGUUGGCGGGGUAACGGCCCACCAAGGCUACGACGGGUAGCUGGUCUGAGAGGACGAUCAGCCACACUGGAAC
RNAcentral lists this ribosomal RNA (303 nucleotides) under uncultured bacterium. Its description in RNAcentral is "bacterial SSU rRNA". It matches the Rfam family "Bacterial small subunit ribosomal RNA", at positions 29 to 319 of the family's 1533-position model. The record is from RNAcentral.